ACUGUUCUUCUGGGUCACCAAACUUUAUCAAUAUGUUCUGGGCUCUUUUUCUUAGUCUCUUGGUAGUGUGGUGCGAAGGAGUAACCUCACAAAGUGUGGUGUCUCAACCUCCAUCAGCCUCAGUGAACCCAGGAAACACAGUGAAAUUGGCCUGCAUCUUGAGCAAUGGAGUCAACAUUGGCCGCUACAGAAUAUACUGGUUGCAGCAGAAGCCUCCAAACUCUCCACGUUUUCUCUUGCACUUCUACACAGAUUCUGACAAGGGCCAAGGUUCUGGAGUUCCUUCUCGGUUCUCCGGUUCUAAGGAGGCCUCCACCAAUGCCGGUUAUUUAACCAUUUCUGGAGUUCUGGAUGAAGACGAGGCUGUUUAUUACUGUGCUACGUGGUACAGCGGUGCAGCCACCAACUGUACAUCACUGACAGAUGUUCGGAUCACAAAGAGGGAGAACUUCACUCUUUCCCCACCUGAGGACAGUUGGACAGAAAAUGCAAAGUCAUGUGGUAAGAAAAACAGUUCUCUGUGGUUUCCGGAAAUGCCAGAUGCAUCUGAGGAACGUUUGUUGCUGAAGGAUUACCAGAUGCCUUCAGAAGUGGAGAUGGGAAUAGUGAAUCUUCUUGCAUACGGAUUGGGCUUGAUGUGA
Notechis scutatus (mainland tiger snake) is the source of this 641-nucleotide non-coding RNA. The record is from the annotation of a RefSeq genome assembly. Lineage: Eukaryota; Metazoa; Chordata; Lepidosauria; Squamata; Elapidae.